AUUGAACGCUGGCGGCAGGCCUAACACAUGCAAGUCGAACGGUAACAGGAAGCAGCUUGCUGCUUCGCUGACGAGUGGCGGACGGGUGAGUAAUGUCUGGGAAACUGCCUGAUGGAGGGGGAUAACUACUGGAAACGGUAGCUAAUACCGCAUAACGUCGCAAGCCCAAAGAGGGGGACCUUAGGGCCUCUUGCCAUCGGAUGUGCCCAGAUGGGAUUAGCUAGUAGGUGGGGUAACGGCUCACCUAGGCGACGAUCCCUAGCUGGUCUGAGAGGAUGACCAGCCACACUGGAACUGAGACACGGUCCAGACUCCUACGGGAGGCAGCAGUGGGGAAUAUUGCACAAUGGGUGCAAGCCUGAUGCAGCCAUGCCGCGUGUAUGAAGAAGGCCUUCGGGUUGUAAAGUACUUUCAGCGGGGAGGAAGGGAGUAAAGUUAAUACCUUUGCUCAUUGACGUUACCCGCAGAAGAAGCGCCGGCUAACUCCGUG
This 490-nucleotide ribosomal RNA is filed under the name uncultured bacterium. RNAcentral describes it as "partial 16S ribosomal RNA". It matches the Rfam family "Bacterial small subunit ribosomal RNA", at positions 30 to 507 of the family's 1533-position model. The record is from RNAcentral.